RNAcentral lists this long non-coding RNA (220 nucleotides) under Trifolium pratense (red clover). RNAcentral's name for it is "long non-coding RNA (TPRA_LNC003366)". The record is from RNAcentral. Lineage: Eukaryota; Viridiplantae; Streptophyta; Magnoliopsida; Fabales; Fabaceae.
AUUCUGUCUCUAAUAAGAAUAUUAUUUUUUUAAAAACAAAUUAGUUUCUAAUUCCCAAGAUUUUGCUAGUGGCGUGACGCGAGAACCCAAGACACAAUUGUUUUUCGGCACAUUGGCUGAUUUUUGAAUCUUUUGCUUUGUCGAGUCGCUUAGAUGGUUUUCUCUUGGAAGUUCAAGCAUGGGCGUGACAUUCCAAUGUUGUUACUAUGUUGUCAGUGCU